This 497-nucleotide ribosomal RNA is filed under the name uncultured bacterium. RNAcentral describes it as "partial 16S ribosomal RNA". It matches the Rfam family "Bacterial small subunit ribosomal RNA", at positions 28 to 507 of the family's 1533-position model. The record is from RNAcentral.
GAUGAACGCUGGCGGCGUGCCUAAUACAUGCAAGUCGAGCGAACAGACGAUGAUCUUGCGCCUCUGACGAGUGGCGCGGGCGGGUGAGUAACGCGAGUAUAACCUACCUAUAAUACUGAUAUAACUUCGAGAAACCGGAGCUAAUACGGUAUAAUAUCUUGAACCGCGUGGUUGAAUAGUGAAAUACGGUUUUGGUGUCACUUAUAGAUGGAUCCCCGCCGUAUUAGCUAGUUGGUAAGGUAACGGCUUACCAAGGCGACGAUGCGUAGCCGACCUGCGAGGGUGAUAGGCCACACUGGAACUGAGACACGGUCCAGACGCCUACGGGAGGCAGCAGUAGGGAAUCUUCCGCAAUGGGCGAAAGCCUGACGGAGCAACGCCGCGUGAGUGAUGAAGGUCUUCGGAUCGUAAAACUCUGUUAUUAGGGAAGAACAAAUGUGUAAGUAACUAUGCACGUCUUGACGGUAGCUAAUCAGAAAGCCACGGCUAACUACGUG